GUUUUUGAAAUAAAUUAUCACUGAAUUUUUCUGUUACUUUACUUAUUAUGCUUUGCGCUAUAUAAUAUAUAGAUAGUUGAACAUUGUGGUUGCCCAUAAAAAUGCCACAUCCUAUUUUCAUUGUUAUGAAGUACCAGAGUUCUUCCCAGUGCACAUGCAAAAGAAUCUCUUGGAAGUUCUGGGUCUUCGUAGAAGAUUAUUUGUUGAUUGUUCUAUCUACUUUUCAUUUCAUCCAGCACUAGCCUCUACUGUUCCAUAUUUUAGGAUAGAAAAUGAAUUGGAAUGUUUGAAAUCUAUUGUAUCAUGAUUGUUUGGCCUGCAUUUCAGGAUCUGUUUAUACGGGAGUUGACUUUUGCAUGAAGCUCUUUGCAGUGUCUAUUGUUCAAAGGUGACACUCCACUGGACAGUCAACUCCAGAUAGGGCUAGACAUAGCUGAUGAACUGCAAACAGUGCUUAUGGAGAUGGUAAAGCAAGACAGUAGGCACCAAUUAAGUGCAAAGG
Molecule: long non-coding RNA, 502 nt
Organism: Zea mays
Lineage: Eukaryota; Viridiplantae; Streptophyta; Magnoliopsida; Poales; Poaceae
Exons: 3
Source: RefSeq, a predicted model, not a curated record